This 245-nucleotide ribosomal RNA is filed under the name uncultured Lachnospiraceae bacterium. Its description in RNAcentral is "partial 16S ribosomal RNA". It matches the Rfam family "Bacterial small subunit ribosomal RNA", at positions 524 to 768 of the family's 1533-position model. Lineage: Bacteria; Bacillati; Bacillota; Clostridia; Lachnospirales; Lachnospiraceae. The record is from RNAcentral.
UACGUAGGGGGCAAGCGUUAUCCGGAUUUACUGGGUGUAAAGGGAGCGUAGACGGCAUGGCAAGUCUGAUGUGAAAACCUGGGGCUUAACCUCAGGACUGCAUUGGAAACUGUCAAGCUGGAGUGCAGGAGGGGUAAGCGGAAUUCCUAGUGUAGCGGUGAAAUGCGUAGAUAUUAGGAGGAACACCGGUGGCGAAGGCGGCUUACUGGACUGUAACUGACGUUGAGGCUCGAAGGCGUGGGGAG